This 132-nucleotide small nucleolar RNA is filed under the name Eurypyga helias (sunbittern). Lineage: Eukaryota; Metazoa; Chordata; Aves; Eurypygiformes; Eurypygidae. The record is from RNAcentral.
AGGUCCAUUCUAAUUCCCUGCAGGUCAGUGCCAGUACCUGCUGGGUUUCGCUUGUGGACCACAUUAAACUGGAAAACUUAAGCAUGUAUGAGCUUAUUGGUAUCUGCUCGUGACAUAGUUUUCUGGACAUCU